CAGUCGCCACGGUAAUACGAAGGGGGCUAGCGUUGUUCGGAAUUACUGGGCGUAAAGCGCACGUAGGCGGAUACUUAAGUCAGGGGUGAAAUCCCGGGGCUCAACCCCGGAACUGCCUUUGAUACUGGGUAUCUCGAGUCCGGAAGAGGUGAGUGGAAUUCCGAGUGUAGAGGCGAAAUUCGUAGAUAUUCGGAGGAACACCAGUGGCGAAGGCGGCUCACUGGUCCGGUACUGACGCUGAGGUGCGAAAGCGUGGGGAGCAAACAGGAUUAGAUACCCCCGUAGUCCCUGUCUCUUAUAC
RNAcentral lists this ribosomal RNA (301 nucleotides) under uncultured bacterium. RNAcentral describes it as "partial 16S ribosomal RNA". It matches the Rfam family "Bacterial small subunit ribosomal RNA", at positions 509 to 807 of the family's 1533-position model. The record is from RNAcentral.